This 437-nucleotide ribosomal RNA is filed under the name uncultured bacterium. RNAcentral describes it as "partial 16S ribosomal RNA". It matches the Rfam family "Bacterial small subunit ribosomal RNA", at positions 29 to 507 of the family's 1533-position model. The record is from RNAcentral.
AGCGAACGCUGGCGGCAGGCUUAGCACAUGCAAGUCGAGCGGGCAUCCUUGUGGUGUCAGCGGCAGACGGGUGAGUAACGCGUGGGAACGUGCCCUUCGGUUCGGAAUAACUCAGGGAAACUUGAGCUAAUACCGGAUACGUGCGAGAGCAGAAAGGUUUAUCUGCCGAAGGAUCGGCCCGCGUCUGAUUAGCUAGUUGGUGAGGUUACGGCUCACCAAGGCGACGAUCAGUAGCUGGUCUGAGAGGAUGAUCAGCCACACUGGGACUGAGACACGGCCCAGACUCCUACGGGAGGCAGCAGUGGGGAAUAUUGGACAAUGGGGGCAACCCUGAUCCAGCCAUGCCGCGUGAGUGAUGACGGCCUUAGGGUUGUAAAGCUCUUUUCUCCGGGACGAUAAUGACGGUACCGGAGGAAUAAGCCCCGGCUAACUUCGUG